GGGUUUGCAUCCUUGCUAUUGUCGGCCUACCCAUUACUUUAAUUGGAAUUAAGAUAUGUUUAAUAUUCAGUUUGAUAUAUUUGUACAGAGGCAAGAUUUGUUUCUGAUUUAUAAACAAAUAUAUCAAAUUGACAAUAAACAUGCUCCUAAUCUCAAUUAAAGUACUGGGUAGUGAUUGGUGUUUGGAUAUGUUGAUAAUAAAAACUUGAUAAUAAAGACAAACUAAACAAUAUUUAAAAAAGAGAAUGUACGAACAUAAAUACAACAACACAACAAUAAAAACUAUUUCUGUUAUCUCAAUACAUUAUAAUUUGUAAGAUGCUUCCGAAAUUGAACGUGCACAAUUCAGGUGAAAUUAAUCCAUUUAAGCUUGGCUGACCCCGUAGAAUUUUUUCCAAGCAUCCACAACUCAUAAGGACUGAUAAAAAGGAGAAACAUGAAACGACUUUUAACGUUGAACGUGAUUUUCCACCCCAUACUCAUGGAUCCGUUCAAGGUUUUAUUGGCUCCGAAUAAAUUUGCGUAGCGAACGUUUUAACACUUUAUAAACUAUAGUUAUACAGGUUUUAAUUGUGAAAUAUAUAAAUAUGCAAAUUGGUCUGUUAGUUUUAGUAACUUAAUACGGUCGUAGGGAAAGUAUGGCAGAUGAAAUUACACAGCAAAAAGUUGAAGAAAACUUAUUUUCCCAAAAAAUAGAAAUUGAAGCCGCACUUUUCGUAUAAAAGUAAAACGAUUACAAACUCGGUUUUCUACGAAAAGAGGUAUUUUAUCGACAAAAAUUAUUUCGUUUUCAUGUCAAAUGGUUUAUUAAAUGUAAUUUUCACAGGGUUAUCUUUGACAUUGCUUAUCAUGGUCAUGGCAUGGGAGUUAAUGACACUUACUACAGCUUUUGGCAUUACAGUACCUUCGAAAUAAGUCUGCAAUGCAAAAUGCCUAUAUUUUUAAAAACGUGCAUUUAUUAGAAACUCAAUUUAAUUCAAAACUGAAAUUAUUAAAGCGAACAAAUAUUGCGAAUUUAUUCAUCCAUCAAUAUCAGGGCCUUCAGCACAGAACAUUCCCCAUCCCCCAAUGAGAAGUUCUGUGAACUUCAGAACUUAAUACGUCAUGAACAUUAUUUAAACGCUGAAAAACGUGAUUUUACGUGGUUGCUCUUUUUGUGGCAUAGUAGCGUCAUAAAGUAACUAACAAGCCUAAUAAUUCAUUUUCGUAGAAAACUUGCUAAAGGCCAAUCUAGUCAGUUGGUCGUCAUCUUUAUGACGGAAGUCC
This is a long non-coding RNA of Dendroctonus ponderosae (mountain pine beetle), 1266 nucleotides long. RefSeq lists it as uncharacterized. NCBI's taxonomy places the organism in Eukaryota, Metazoa, Arthropoda, Insecta, Coleoptera, Curculionidae. The transcript is spliced from 2 exons. The record is from RefSeq and is a predicted model, not a curated record.